UAGCUUCUCAGAGGGUAAAGGCCAC
RNAcentral lists this non-coding RNA (25 nucleotides) under Mus musculus (house mouse). Lineage: Eukaryota; Metazoa; Chordata; Mammalia; Rodentia; Muridae. The record is from RNAcentral.